GAUGAACGCUGGCGGCGUGCCUAAUACAUGCAAGUCGAGCGAAUGGAUUAAGAGCUUGCUCUUAUGAAGUUAGCGGCGGACGGGUGAGUAACACGUGGGUAACCUGCCCAUAAGACUGGGAUAACUCCGGGAAACCGGGGCUAAUACCGGAUAAUAUUUUGAACUGCAUGGUUCAAAAUUGAAAGGCGGCUUCGGCUGUCACUUAUGGAUGGACCCGCGUCGCAUUAGCUAGUUGGUGAGGUAACGGCUCACCAAGGCAACGAUGCGUAGCCGACCUGAGAGGGUGAGCGGCCACACUGGGACUGAGACACGGCCCAGACGCCUACGGGAGGCAGCAGUAGGGAAUCUUCCGCAAUGGACGAAAGUCUGACGGAGCAACGCCGCGUGAGUGAUGAAGGCUUUCGGGUCGUAAAACUCUGUUGUUAGGGAAGAACAAGUGCUAGUUGAAUAAGCUGCACCUUGACGGUACCUAACCAGAAAGCCACGGCUAACUACGUGCCAGCCGCCGCCGUAA
RNAcentral lists this ribosomal RNA (514 nucleotides) under uncultured bacterium. Its description in RNAcentral is "partial 16S ribosomal RNA". It matches the Rfam family "Bacterial small subunit ribosomal RNA", at positions 28 to 523 of the family's 1533-position model. The record is from RNAcentral.